GACGAACGCUGGCGGUGUGCCUCACACAUGCAAGUCGAACGGGGUAGCAAUACCCAGUGGCGGACGGGUGAGUAACACGUGGGAAUCUGCCUCAGAGUGGGGGAUAACUGACCGAAAGGUUAGCUAAUACCGCAUACGUCGCAAGAUAAAAGGAGUAAUCCGCUAUGAGAUGAGCCCGCGUCCGAUUAGCUAGUUGGUAGGGUAAAGGCUUACCAAGGCUACGAUCGGUAGCUGGUCUGAGAGGAUGAUCAGCCACAAUGGAACUGAGACACGGUCC
RNAcentral lists this ribosomal RNA (277 nucleotides) under uncultured bacterium. Its description in RNAcentral is "partial 16S ribosomal RNA". It matches the Rfam family "Bacterial small subunit ribosomal RNA", at positions 28 to 332 of the family's 1533-position model. The record is from RNAcentral.